GUGUCCUACGGGGCGCAGCAGUGAGGAAUAUUGGUCAAUGGGCUUACGCCUGAACCAGCCAAGUCGCGUGAGGGAAGACUGCCCUAUGGGUUGUAAACUUCUUUUAUAUGGGAAUAAAGUUCUCCACGUGUGGAAUUUUGUAUGUACCAUAUGAAUAAGGAUCGGCUAACUCCGUGCCAGCAGCCGCGGUAAUACGGAGGAUCCGAGCGUUAUCCGGAUUUAUUGGGUUUAAAGGGAGCGUAGGUGGACAGUUAAGUCAGUUGUGAAAGUUUGCGGCUCAACCGUAAAAUUGCAGUUGAUACUGG
RNAcentral lists this ribosomal RNA (305 nucleotides) under uncultured bacterium. RNAcentral's name for it is "bacterial SSU rRNA". It matches the Rfam family "Bacterial small subunit ribosomal RNA", at positions 334 to 636 of the family's 1533-position model. The record is from RNAcentral.